RNAcentral lists this unclassified non-coding RNA (253 nucleotides) under uncultured Chitinophagales bacterium. RNAcentral's name for it is "contains 16S-23S intergenic spacer region". It matches the Rfam family "Bacterial small subunit ribosomal RNA", at positions 524 to 776 of the family's 1533-position model. Lineage: Bacteria; Pseudomonadati; Bacteroidota; Chitinophagia; Chitinophagales. The record is from RNAcentral.
GACGGAGGAUGCAAGCGUUAUCCGGAAUCACUGGGUUUAAAGGGUGCGUAGGUGGUUUUGUAAGUCAGUGGUGAAAGCCCGGAGCUUAACUCCGGAACUGCCAUUGAUACUGCUUAACUUGAAUCAACUUGAGGUGGAUGGAAUAAUACAUGUAGCGGUGAAAUGCUUAGAUAUGUAUUAGAACACCGAUUGCGAAGGCAGUUCACUAAGGUUGUAUUGACACUGAGGCACGAAAGCGUGGGGAUCAAACAGG